AACGCACAUUGCACCCCUUGGUAUUCCGAGGGGUAUGCCUGUUCGAGCGUCAUUAUAAUCAUCAAGCUUCGCUUGGUAUUGGAGCUCGCCCAUCGCGGCUCUUAAACUUAGUGGUUGUGCCGUCUGGUAUUAAGCGUAGUAAUCUUUCUCGCUAUAGUUCUAGGCAGCUACUUGCCAUAUAACACAAAUCUUUAAUGGUUGACCUCGGAUCAGGUAGGGAUACCCGCUGAACUUAA
This 236-nucleotide unclassified non-coding RNA is filed under the name uncultured fungus. Its description in RNAcentral is "sequence contains ITS2". Lineage: Eukaryota; Fungi. The record is from RNAcentral.